GUCUACGUAGCUCAGCUGGAUAGAGCAUAUGCCUUCUAAGCAUAUGGCCGGGAGUUCGAAUCUCUCCGUAGACG
Biomphalaria glabrata is the source of this 74-nucleotide non-coding RNA. The record is from Rfam. Lineage: Eukaryota; Metazoa; Mollusca; Gastropoda; Planorbidae.